Molecule: ribosomal RNA, 211 nt
Filed under: uncultured bacterium
Lineage: Bacteria
Description: partial 16S ribosomal RNA
Rfam family: Bacterial small subunit ribosomal RNA
Source: RNAcentral
CAGUUCAGAUUGCAGGCUGAAACUCGCCUGCAUGAAGUCGGAAUUGCUGUAAUCGCAGAUCAGCAUGCUGCGGUGAAUACGUUCCCGGGCCUUGUACACACCGCCCGUCACACCAUGGGAGUCGGUAACACCCGAAGCCUGUAGUCUAACCGCAAGGAGGACGCAGUCGAAGGUGGGAUUGAUGACUGGGGUGAAGUCGUAACAAGGUACC